GACGAACGCUGGCGGCGUGCUUAACACAUGCAAGUCGAGCGGUAAGGCCCUUUCGGGGGUACACGAGCGGCGAACGGGUGAGUAACACGUGGGUAAUCUACCUUCUGAUCUGGCAAAACCCGGGGGAAACCCAGGCUAACUCCAGAUAAGACCACGGGGCGGCGGCUCUGUGGGAAAAGCGGAGGAUCUCUUCGGAGACUUCGCGUCGGAAGAUGAGCCCGCGGCCCAUCAGGUAGUUGGCGGGGUAANGGCCCACCAAG
Molecule: ribosomal RNA, 260 nt
Filed under: uncultured bacterium
Lineage: Bacteria
Description: partial 16S ribosomal RNA
Rfam family: Bacterial small subunit ribosomal RNA
Source: RNAcentral